CGGGGUGAGUAACGCGUGGGUAACCUGCCUCAUACAGGGGGAUAACAGUUAGAAAUGGCUGCUAAUACCGCAUAAGCACACAGUGUUGCAUGACACAGUGUGAAAAACUCCGGUGGUAUGAGAUGGACCCGCGUCUGAUUAGCUAGUUGGUGGGGUAACGGCCUACCAAGGCGACGAUCAGUAGCCGACCUGAGAGGGUGACCGGCCACAUUGGGACUGAGACACGGCCCAA
This 232-nucleotide ribosomal RNA is filed under the name uncultured bacterium. RNAcentral's name for it is "partial 16S ribosomal RNA". It matches the Rfam family "Bacterial small subunit ribosomal RNA", at positions 104 to 334 of the family's 1533-position model. The record is from RNAcentral.